RNAcentral lists this ribosomal RNA (821 nucleotides) under Arthrobacter sp. RODV9. RNAcentral's name for it is "bacterial SSU rRNA". It matches the Rfam family "Bacterial small subunit ribosomal RNA", at positions 55 to 874 of the family's 1533-position model. Lineage: Bacteria; Bacillati; Actinomycetota; Actinomycetes; Micrococcales; Micrococcaceae. The record is from RNAcentral.
AUGCAAGUCGAACGAUGAACUGGCGCUUGCGUCGGGGAUUAGUGGCGAACGGGUGAGUAACACGUGAGUAACCUGCCCUUAACUCUGGGAUAAGCCUGGGAAACUGGGUCUAAUACUGGAUAUUGACUUUUCCUCGCAUGGGGUUUGGUUGAAAGAUUUUUUGGUUUUGGAUGGACUCGCGGCCUAUCAGCUUGUUGGUAUGGGUAAUGGCCUACCAAGGCGACGACGGGUAGCCGGCCUGAGAGGGUGACCGGCCACACUGGGACUGAGACACGGCCCAGACUCCUACGGGAGGCAGCAGUGGGGAAUAUUGCACAAUGGGCGAAAGCCUGAUGCAGCGACGCCGCGUGAGGGAUGACGGCCUUCGGGUUGUAAACCUCUUUCAGUAGGGAACAAGGCCACACGUUGUGUGGUUGAGGGUACUUGCAGAAGAAGCGCCGGCUAACUACGUGCCAGCAGCCGCGGUAAUACGUAGGGCGCAAGCGUUAUCCGGAAUUAUUGGGCGUAAAGAGCUCGUAGGCGGUUUGUCGCGUCUGCCGUGAAAGUCCGGGGCUCAACUCCGGAUCUGCGGUGGGUACGGGCAGACUAGAGUGAUGUAGGGGAGACUGGAAUUCCUGGUGUAGCGGUGAAAUGCGCAGAUAUCAGGAGGAACACCGAUGGCGAAGGCAGGUCUCUGGGCAUUAACUGACGCUGAGGAGCGAAAGCAUGGGGAGCGAACAGGAUUAGAUACCCUGGUAGUCCAUGCCGUAAACGUUGGGCACUAGGUGUGGGGGACAUUCCACGUUUUCCGCGCCGUAGCUAACGCAUUAAGUGCCCCGCCU